AAAGGAAUUGACGGAAGGGCACCCCCAGGAGUGGAGCCUGCGGCUUAAUUUGACUCAACACGGGAAAACUUACCAGGUCCAGACAUAGGUAGGAUUGACAGAUUGAGAGUUCUUUCAUGAUUUUAUGGGGGGUGGGCAUGGCCGUUUUUAGUUGGUGGAGUGAUUUGUUUGGUUAAUUCCGUUAACGAACGAGACUCGGCUUAUUAAAUAGUGCGUGGUAUGGCAACAUAGUACGUUUUAACUUUUUAGAGGGACAUGUCCGGUUUACGGGCAGGAAGUUCGAGGCAAUAACAGGUUUGUGAUGCCCUUAGAUGUUUGGGCCGCACGCGCGCUACACUGAUGGGUUCAUCGGGUUUUAAUUUUAUUUUUUGGAUUGAGUGCUUGGUCGGAAGGCCUGGCUAAUCCUUGGAACGCUCAUCGUGCUGGGGCUAGUUUUUGCAAUUAUUAAUCUCCAACGAGGAAUUCCUAGUAAACGCAAGUCAUCAGCUUGCUUGAAUACGUCCCUGCCCUUUGUACACACCGCCCGUCGCACCUACCGAUUGAACGGUCCGAUGAAACCAUGGGAUGUUUCUGUUUGGAUUGAUUUUUGGACAGAGGCAGAACUCGGG
RNAcentral lists this ribosomal RNA (608 nucleotides) under Aurantiochytrium sp. RNAcentral describes it as "SSU rRNA". It matches the Rfam family "Eukaryotic small subunit ribosomal RNA", at positions 1146 to 1759 of the family's 1831-position model. Lineage: Eukaryota; Bigyra; Thraustochytrida; Thraustochytriidae. The record is from RNAcentral.